Molecule: ribosomal RNA, 247 nt
Filed under: uncultured bacterium
Lineage: Bacteria
Description: partial 16S ribosomal RNA
Rfam family: Bacterial small subunit ribosomal RNA
Source: RNAcentral
AUACAGAGACUACGAACGUUACUCGGAUUCACUGGGCGUAAAGGGUGCGCAGGCGGUUAGGUAUGUUAGAUGUGAAAUACCGGAGCUUAACUCCGGGGCUGCGUCUAAAACUAUCUGACUAGAGUUUUGGAGAGGUAAGCGGAAUUCCAGGAGUAGCAGUGAAAUGCGUAGAUAUCUGGAGGAACACCAAAGGCGAAGGCAGCUUACUGGACAAAAACUGACGCUCAUGCACGAAAGCGUGGGGAGC